Molecule: ribosomal RNA, 248 nt
Filed under: Sistotrema sp. 1 CRJH-2017
Lineage: Eukaryota; Fungi; Basidiomycota; Agaricomycetes; Cantharellales; Hydnaceae
Description: partial 28S ribosomal RNA
Rfam family: Eukaryotic large subunit ribosomal RNA
Source: RNAcentral
UGAGCUCAAAUUUAAAAUCUGGCAGUCUUUGAUUGUCCGAGUUGUAAUCUAGAGAAGCGUUUUCCGCGCUGGACUGUGUACAAGUUUCCUGGAUACGGAACAUCAUAGAGGGUGAGAAUCCCGUCCUUGACACAGACUCCCAGUGCUCUGUGAUGCGCUCUCGACGAGUCGAGUUGUUUGGGAUUGCAGCUCAAAAUGGGAGGUAAAUUCCUUCUAAAGCUAAAUAUUGGCGAGAGACCGAUAGCGAA